GAGAAGUGGAUCAAACUCGGGGAGUUUCCAAUAGACUUUUGGUGACUUGUGCCGAUCUGUUCAGAGUUUUAGAGGGUGUUAUGCAUGCGUGAGAUCGAAGUGCAGUGAAGUGAGAUGGAGGAUGAAAGUCGCACUGAUCGAAAGAUUUAGAGCAGCGGCUGCACCUUGCCCGAUCCCACAACACGACGAGCACUGUGGCCCCCUGCUCACACUCCAUCUGCAGGAAGACGGCGGUGAUGAGUAGCAGGGAGGCGGUCAGAGAGGCCACUGCAGCCGCGAUAAUCAGGCCCCGCUGUCGGCGAGAGUCGCCCCGCAUCAGGUAUCGCAAACGGUGCCAGAAGACCCUCCUCCGUGGACAGAGGCGGCCGUAGCGACGGCGGCAGCUGCAGCACAAAGAACAGCGCGGGAAGUCAGGUCAGGCCCGGCUCGACCCAGCUGGGUGCCCCUCCCUCCCUUCACUGUCCUCCCUUGGUUCGAAUAGCCAUCCCUUUCCCUCCCCCUCUUACUUGGGUCGGGUUGAGUGGAGCGGUCGUAAGGAUGACAUGACCUAUAGGUAGCCUGGCGCCCCCUCUACCCUAAACUACCCUGACCCGAGCAGCCUCUCCCUCUCUCCUGUCUCUC
Long non-coding RNA from Amphibalanus amphitrite, 621 nucleotides. RefSeq lists it as uncharacterized. The transcript is spliced from 3 exons. The record is from RefSeq and is a predicted model, not a curated record. NCBI's taxonomy places the organism in Eukaryota, Metazoa, Arthropoda, Thecostraca, Balanomorpha, Balanidae.